This 254-nucleotide ribosomal RNA is filed under the name uncultured bacterium. RNAcentral describes it as "partial 16S ribosomal RNA". It matches the Rfam family "Bacterial small subunit ribosomal RNA", at positions 524 to 776 of the family's 1533-position model. The record is from RNAcentral.
UACGUAGGGUGCAAGCGUUAAUCGGAAUUACUGGGCGUAAAGCGUGCGCAGGCGGUUCUAUAAGACAGAUGUGAAAUCCCCGGGCUCAACCCGGGAACUGCGUCCGAUACUGGAAGGCUUGAAUCCGGGAGAGGGAUGCGGAAUUCCAGGUGUAGCGGUGAAAUGCGUAGAUAUCUGGAGGAACACCGGUGGCGAAGGCGGCAUCCUGGACCGAUUACUGACGCUGAGGCGCGAAAGCUAGGGGAGCAAACGGG